CACGCCCGCCGCCCGCGCGCCUCACAGGUGCCGCCGACGCCCCGCCCGCCCCGCCGCCGCAGCUCCCGGGCGACGCGCAGCUCUGGCCAAAUUCUACCUCGGGUCUUCUCACCACCAGCCUCUCUCGGUUGUUUUCAUCAUAACAAUGUCUGGUAUAUUUUCCCUGGCGGAUGUAAAAACAACGAGUCAAGACCAAAACAAAGGUGCCAGUUCCAUAUUCUUUACACUUCUCAAGAGAAUUCUCAAGCCAAGCAUUUAAGGAAGUUCUGGUAUCAGAUGAUGUCAAAGGCCACCUUCCCAGACACCUCAAAGCUGCUGAGGAGCCUCCUGGAUACACGUAUACCACAUACAUACAUAAUAACUCAUUCUCUCAAGUCCCAUAUAACACCAUCUUGGAUUAUCUGGUUUACUUGUCUGAACCUUCUACUAGCGUGUAAGCCCAGUGGAUCCAUCGCUUGACUGUGCAGCCCUAGCAGAGUGGAUGGCAAAUGGUAAACACUCAAAUAAAUAUUGACUGAAAAGCCGAGUAUCUGCACACACAUUAAGACAUACCCUGUAUUCUUUCUUUGGUUUCUUCUUUGAGGGGUCUUUACAAAGGAUGUGUUAAGGCAUAAUCCAUGUCCUCUAGGACUACUAAUUAAAGUCACACCAGGGAGUAGAGACUUAUCCACAAGAAAAAAGAUGGAGCAAUACACCAAAUUUAUUAAUAACAUGUUAAAUGGAACAUGAUCAAAUGACAAAAACUCCCGUUGAAGGAAGGCAUACUAUGGGUGGUCAAGAAAUUAGUCCUACAUGCUUAAGACUCGUGUCAGUUACAAAAACAGCAAGGCAAAAUACCAAAAGCUAUGGAUAUGAAAAAUAAGUGAGAAAGCCAGAAAAAAAGAGAGAAAUUAAGUCAAUAUACUAAAAGUGAAUACAGACAAAUAGCAUUAGGUAUAGGGACAAGGUUAGUCUGUGAAAGACUGUGCAACUAGCUAAGUAAGUGUUUUAAGGUGCUUUAAAUACAUUAUGCUAAAGACACAGACCAACAAAAAUUUUUUCUCCUUUGAGAGGCAGAAAAAACUAGCUGUAGUUUCUUUACUGUGGUGUCAACAGUUGGCUGGAACAAAUUCUAGUUAUACUGCAAGAACAGAGAAUGUAACUAAAAUAGGAGCAGACUAUAAGGAAAACCUGGAUUUACUCCAACUAUCAGGGCUAUGAUAUUUUAAAACAUCAUUAUAGAACCACAACUAUUAUUCUGGGAGGUCAGAAUAAAUCCCUGAGGAUCAUAAACAGACAAAUGACUCAAGAAUAUUCCAUCAAAUCUGAACAUAGAUGAUUCUAAUGUUAGGAGUGAUUAUAGAAAAGUUAGAAAAAAAUGUGCUACCAAAAAAAGAUAAGAAAUUCAAUUGGAGGAAAUGCAAUAUAGAAACUUAGUGACAUAAACAAUCAGAGAAGACUAGGCACGUGAAUUGAAAAGGUCCUGAUUUUACAGGUAGCUAUGGUGUAGAAGGACGGACGCUGGACCCAGAGUCAAGAGAACCUGAUUUUUAGUCAGGACAAGUCACUUGACUUCCCUUGGCUUCAUUUUCUUCCUAUGAAAAUUGAGGUUAAUAUUAUCAUCUUAAUCACUGGUCUACAGGGAAGAUUUUCUUUAUAUACUUGUGGGUUGUUAUAAUGAGCACAUAGAAGAUUAAAUGAGAUAAGUGAGAAAUGUUUUUUAAAUUGUAAACUGUAAAGGACUGUCAAAAUACAAGGUAUAAGUAGUAGUUCUGUGGACCACCAGCAGAAUAGUACCUAGUAAUCCUGUUCCACCCAGCAGAGGUCCUCAUACUAAGAUAUAUCCCAAGAAUGUAGAAUGAAUAAGACACUCCAGGCAGGGCAGGGCAAUGGAUCUAGGACAGGGCAUUCAGUAAGGAACACAACCAUCAGAAAGCACUCCUUCCCCUGAACUCAAUAGCCAUCACAUCCAAUUUUUAAAAACAAGAUGGAGAAACCUAAAUAUUUUACUAAGCAAUUCAAAGUCAUACAAAGAAAACUAGUUCCCCACAUAUGUCUAAUAAUUUGGGUUAGUUCAACAUUGCAGAAGUGGUUGGUGAAAUCUUUAUUCACUCCCCUUGACUGAACGGGUAGCAGAAAUGUUUUCCAUUAAAAUGCAAAUUCCUCAGGUGGGGUCAUAAUUAAGCCCUCAUGAGCCAUCUCUUGAGCUAUGGGUUCCCAGCUUGCCAGGAUUAGUAGACUUCUUAGUCCAUAGGAAGGGAGAAAGGCCAAGGAAGGACACAAGGCUGAAGUUAUGAGUUAACACUUUAGCAGGGUAUUAACCAUAACGCUUUGCUGGCUGGGAGGCUGGGGAGCCAGCAUGGAGAAGGAAAGCGUAUCUGAAAGAGGAGAUGGCAAACCACUUAGAUGACCUUCUCUCUUAUACUUCACUUUGUAAUUCCAUCUUGGACCAAAAACAAAAACAAAACAACUCUUGAAAACAAAAGCCAAAUUAGUGUGUUCAUAUUGUCUUCAACUAUUCAAAGACUUAAUGACUAAGAUACUGAUGCAUUUUUGUUCAGGUUUGCAGAAAAGCUAAGCAAAAAUUGGCCUAAAUUAGAGCAGGAGGACAUUAGCUAUAAGAUAGGUAUAGAUAGAUAUUCUUCUUUUUUUUUUUAACAUUGGCACCUGAGCUAACAUCUGUUGCCAAUCUUUUUUUUUUUUCUUCUUCUUCUUCUCCUCC
This is a long non-coding RNA of Equus caballus (horse), 2701 nucleotides long. RefSeq lists it as uncharacterized. Lineage: Eukaryota; Metazoa; Chordata; Mammalia; Perissodactyla; Equidae. The record is from RefSeq and is a predicted model, not a curated record.